AUUCCAUGAUGAGGGCACUUUCGUAAUAAUUCUUUGUACCUUUCCCAUGUCUCAUACAAGGAUUCAUCAUCCAUUUGUUGGAAAGUAGUGAUUUCGUUCCACAACUU
This is a non-coding RNA of Gossypium hirsutum (cotton), 107 nucleotides long. NCBI's taxonomy places the organism in Eukaryota, Viridiplantae, Streptophyta, Magnoliopsida, Malvales, Malvaceae. The record is from Rfam.